GGGGAGAUACCAAAGCGGCCAACUGGGGCAGACUGUAAAUCUGUUGUCUUUCGACUUCGCAGGUUCGAAUCCUGCUCUCCCCA
RNAcentral lists this transfer RNA (83 nucleotides) under Roseihalotalea indica. RNAcentral's name for it is "tRNA-Tyr". It matches the Rfam family "tRNA". From Rfam's summary of the family: Transfer RNA (tRNA) molecules are approximately 80 nucleotides in length. The record is from RNAcentral. Lineage: Bacteria; Pseudomonadati; Bacteroidota; Cytophagia; Cytophagales; Catalimonadaceae.